AUCCUUCUAGUAAAAAUGUUAGUAUAAGUGGCUUCCAACCACAUGGUCUUGGUUAAACUCCAAGGAAGGAUA
Molecule: transfer RNA, 72 nt
Filed under: Pomacanthus imperator (emperor angelfish)
Lineage: Eukaryota; Metazoa; Chordata; Actinopteri; Pomacanthidae
Description: tRNA-Gly
Rfam family: tRNA
About the family: Transfer RNA (tRNA) molecules are approximately 80 nucleotides in length. Their secondary structure includes four short double-helical elements and three loops (D, anti-codon, and T loops). Further hydrogen bonds mediate the characteristic L-shaped molecular structure. tRNAs have two regions of fundamental functional importance: the anti-codon, which is responsible for specific mRNA codon recognition, and the 3' end, to which the tRNAs corresponding amino acid is attached (by aminoacyl-tRNA synthetases). tRNAs cope with the degeneracy of the genetic code in two manners: having more than one tRNA (with a specific anti-codon) for a particular amino acid; and 'wobble' base-pairing, i.e. permitting non-standard base-pairing at the 3rd anti-codon position.
Source: RNAcentral